Long non-coding RNA from Vespa velutina, 1987 nucleotides. RefSeq lists it as uncharacterized. The record is from RefSeq and is a predicted model, not a curated record. The transcript has 3 exons. NCBI's taxonomy places the organism in Eukaryota, Metazoa, Arthropoda, Insecta, Hymenoptera, Vespidae.
AUUGGCGUAUCCGAUGAGAAGGGUUGGUUGGUGGCGGUGAUGGUGGUGGUGGUGGUGGUAUAGAACGAGAGAGGACGAAGAGAGAGAAAGAAAGAGAGAGACAGAGAAAGAGACAGAGAGAGAGAUAGACAGAGACAGAUAGAGAGUGUGGGACGGCACGAGUAGACGUCAUUUGUGGGAUUUAGUGCGGAGAGCGUCCACGGCAGUUCGGCACGAUCGAGUUUGCAUAUGGAACCGCGGCCGUUUCGACGUACAUGCGAGAAAUUGACGGGUGUGGUGCCGAUAGGAAUAACGAGUUUUUGGUUUAAAUAGAGAAGACAUACGUAAAAGUCGUAACCAUCACCGGAUAUGUCAGCCAGAAUUCAGCGAUCGAUCAGUCAGCCAUUGGUGUAUCAUCCCAAGUAUAUGGAAGAGAGUAACAUGGAAAAAAGAAAAAAGAAAUAGAGAUUAUAUCUUCACUUUGUUCGACCUCAUUGGUUAACGACUUGUACCUGCAAAAAAGAAACGCGAAGAGAAUGAACGAGAAAGGCCAAGAACCUCCGAACCGAACGGAUUUCAAAAGGAUCUUCGUCUUUAUUAACGCGAAAGGAAAAAGGAAGUCUUUGUUCGUUACAGAGAAUUCGCUCGUUUACUGGGUCAGCUCCGGUGUGACUCAAACGCUAAAGAGAUAACGACCUACUCUGGAUUAAGACGAACUACUUUAGAUUUUUUUACAAAUAUUAAAUUCUGUACAGAACGAAUAUAACAUGAUACAUGACAAGUGCUCAUAAAUUAUAUAAGCAUACAAUAAUGAAUGUAAAAAAAGACACAAGAAGAAAAUAAAAGAAAAGUUAAUGUUUAAUAAAUAUAAAAAAAUAUUCUAUACAUUACUAUUCCUUCUAAUUUCACCAUGUCUUUAAAUCUUCGAUAAUCUUUCGAAUAUUUUCAUUGCAAUUUCUUCAAGUAGAAAUAAUAUCAUUCGUAUUCAACGAAAUCGUAGUUCUUAUCGUUUAAUUGCUUACGAAUGAAUCGAGAAUACUUUUAAAUGACCAGUCAAUUAGUCUUGAACCGUUCGAUAUCUCGAUUCGUUUUCUAUUUCUUGAACAAAAAAGAGCAAGUUAGGAAGUAUUUCUACGGAGCACUGCUGAAGACUAAAUAAAAUUGUUCAAUAGUUGGCACAUAACCGAUGAGAAAAAGAAUUCGACGAGUUUUCACGAGUAUGAAACUUUGAUAAUGAGCUGACUCAUUCGCAAAGUAAUAGAUUUGAAUCAUCUAAUUACAUCUUUAUAUUUCAUACAUGCUGUUGUAAAAAUAUUUCAUUAAACAUAAAUUUAUUUGAACUUCGUACAGGCAGGUAAAAUAAAUUAUUAUAGGUGAAUAAAAAUUAUUCAAAAAAUUAUUUCAAAUUUCCCGAUACACAACUAUCGACAAAACAAUGAACAAAUAAGUCUAUGCAUUUUCAAUAAAAACAAUUUAAAAUUAUCGACGAUAAAAGACUAAUAAUCCGAUUAUAUUUAAUGAGUAUCAUUCUUCCCAUGUUAUUUUAUUAUUUGAUGUUAAUCGAAUUAUUGUAAGAGUUAUUAUAAAAAUGAAUUAAGCGAGGAAAAUAUUCUCCGAUACUUGUAAAGCUUAUUAACGAUAAAAUAAAAAUUACGACUCUUCCUCGAUUCCUAUUCAUAAAAUGUACUUCAUUAAUUACCUUUCAAAGUGUACAAAGUGCAUAGAAUUCAUCAUACGUUCGAAAAAGUUUGUGCUAUAUAGUCGAUAUUCUCCGAAGUUUCAAAACAUCAAUCGAUUUUUGUCUUUAAUCUACAAAUUUGCUAUUCUUGUUCACAUUUACUUGAGCAAAGUCGUCAGAAUAUUGUUAAGAAUAGAUAUAGAUAAAAAGAGAAAGAGAAGAGAAAACGAAAGUAGAACGAUAAAUUCGAGCGUUUGUUCAGCUGCUACGACUUUAUGAGCUCGAUUUCCUCUUAAUCAAGAUAAACGUUAUAUGUACGAAAGAGAUAUU